Rhipicephalus sanguineus (brown dog tick) is the source of this 462-nucleotide long non-coding RNA. RefSeq lists it as uncharacterized. The record is from RefSeq and is a predicted model, not a curated record. Lineage: Eukaryota; Metazoa; Arthropoda; Arachnida; Ixodida; Ixodidae. The transcript has 2 exons.
GUUGCGAGGCUUGUAAAAGACUGUUAUAAAUCAAUGCAGAUAUAAUUUUACGUAGUACAUGUCUUAUUUGUGUUGUAUUACAUGCUUCGCAGUUCCGCUGCCCUUCUAUGGUUCUACCUGAUGAUCAAGUCAAGAAAUUCAUCUUGACGACUUUCUGAGUCGAGGCCGACUGCUGCGCAAGAAGUGUACGAUGGCUCGACCAAGAAACUAUGGUGAAGAUAAACAGCAGUGAAACAGCAGGGUUUCGGCCACUGCUGCAACAACCGAAUGAGGGAAUCCUGCUGAGUAUAGCCAACUGACCUGGUUAUGGAAGCUCUCCUGCAUCCUGUGAGGGCAAGAUCUAGCCAAUGGACCUCCUAAACACAUUGAAGCAAUAGCUGUUGUGUGCUGCACAUGUCUGGCUUGGGUAUAUAUUGCAAUGUCCUUUCAAGAAUAAAGUUAGCUGCGAGUUGACUCUCUUUU